RNAcentral lists this long non-coding RNA (284 nucleotides) under Gallus gallus (chicken). The record is from RNAcentral. Lineage: Eukaryota; Metazoa; Chordata; Aves; Galliformes; Phasianidae.
GUUUGACUGAGACUGCAAUGAUUAUGACGAUGAACAGCAGAACGGCCACAGCAGCAGAGAGGAGGCAGCACUUCAUCUUCCUGGCUCGUAGUUGGUGCUGACUUGCUUUUGCCAACUGCUCAUUGGCUGAUUCUACAUUAGAAGAUGCAGUCUCAAUGUUGGCUUCAAUACUAUCUAUUGUGUCUCCUUGUUCAUGUACCAUGGAGGCCAGGUCUUUAAUGAUCUGGUUCACAUCCAGCAUGUCACUCUCAAUCUGCUGAAUGGCCUCCUCCCGCUGACGGAUG